RNAcentral lists this ribosomal RNA (460 nucleotides) under uncultured bacterium. RNAcentral describes it as "partial 16S ribosomal RNA". It matches the Rfam family "Bacterial small subunit ribosomal RNA", at positions 338 to 795 of the family's 1533-position model. The record is from RNAcentral.
CCUACGGGAGGCAGCAGUGAGGAAUAUUGGUCAAUGGACGCAAGGCUGAACCAGCCAUGCCGCGUGCAGGAAGACGGCUCUAUGAGUUGUAAACUGCUUUUGUACGAGGGUAAACACAGAUACGUGUAUCUGUCUGAAAGUAUCGUACGAAUAAGGAUCGGCUAACUCCGUGCCAGCAGCCGCGGUAAUACGGAGGAUUCAAGCGUUAUCCGGAUUUAUUGGGUUUAAAGGGUGCGUAGGCGGGCGGGUAAGUUAGAGGUGAAAUCCCGAGGCUCAACUUCGGAAUUGCCUCUGAUACUGUUCGGCUAGAGCGUAGUUGCGGUAGGCGGAAUGUAUGGUGUAGCGGUGAAAUGCUUAGAGAUCAUACAGAACACCGAUUGCGAAGGCAGCUUACCAAGCUACUUCUGACGUUGAGGCACGAAAGCGUGGGGAGCAAACAGGAUUAGAUACCCUUGUAGUC